Molecule: ribosomal RNA, 446 nt
Filed under: uncultured bacterium
Lineage: Bacteria
Description: bacterial SSU rRNA
Rfam family: Bacterial small subunit ribosomal RNA
Source: RNAcentral
ACUCCUACGGGAGGCAGCAGUGGGGAAUAUUGCACAAUGGGCGCAAGCCUGAUGCAGCAACGCCGUGUGAGUGAAGAAGGUUUUCGGAUCGUAAAACUCUGUCCUAAGGGAAGAAACAAAUGACGGUACCUUAGGAGGAAGCCCCGGCUAACUACGUGCCAGCAGCCGCGGUAAUACGUAGGGGGCAAGCGUUAUCCGGAAUCACUGGGCGUAAAGGGUGCGUAGGCGGCUUAGCAAGCCAGGGGUGAAAGGCAUUGGCUCAACCAAUGUAAGCCUUUGGAACUGUUAAGCUUGAGUGCAGGAGAGGUAAGUGGAAUUCCUAGUGUAGAGGUGAAAUUCGUAGAUAUUAGGAGGAACACCAGUGGCGAAGGCGACUUACUGGACUGUAACUGACGCUGAUGCACGAAAGCGUGGGUAGCGAACAGGAUUAGAUACCCUGGUAGCAC